UAAUACGGAGGAUGCAAGCGUUAUCCGGAUUUAUUGGGUUUAAAGGGUGCGCAGGUGGUUUAAUAAGUCAGUGGUGAAAGUCUGCCGCUUAACGGUAGGAUUGCCAUUGAUACUGUUGGACUUGAAUAUGGAUGAGGUAGGCGGAAUGUGUAGUGUAGCGGUGAAAUGCUUAGAUAUUACACAGAACACCGAUUGCGAAGGCAGCUUACUAAUCCAUGAUUGACGCUGAGGCACGAAAGCGUGGGGAUCAAACAGG
RNAcentral lists this ribosomal RNA (256 nucleotides) under uncultured bacterium. RNAcentral describes it as "partial 16S ribosomal RNA". It matches the Rfam family "Bacterial small subunit ribosomal RNA", at positions 521 to 776 of the family's 1533-position model. The record is from RNAcentral.